RNAcentral lists this ribosomal RNA (497 nucleotides) under uncultured bacterium. RNAcentral describes it as "partial 16S ribosomal RNA". It matches the Rfam family "Bacterial small subunit ribosomal RNA", at positions 28 to 507 of the family's 1533-position model. The record is from RNAcentral.
GAUGAACGCUGGCGGCGUGCCUAAUACAUGCAAGUCGAGCGAACGGACGAGAAGCUUGCUUCUCUGAUGUUAGCGGCGGACGGGUGAGUAACACGUGGAUAACCUACCUAUAAGACUGGGAUAACUUCGGGAAACCGUAGCUAAUACCGGAUAAUAUUUUGAACCGCAUGGUUCAAAAGUGAAAGACGGUCUUGCUGUCACUUAUAGAUGGAUCCGCGCUGCAUUAGCUAGUUGGUAAGGUAACGGCUUACCAAGGCAACGAUGCAUAGCCGACCUGAGAGGGUGAUCGGCCACACUAGAACUGAGACACGGUCCAGACUCCUACGGGAGGCAGCAGUAGGGAAUCUUACGCAAUGGGCGAAAGCCUGACGGAGCAACGCCGCGUGAGUGAUGAAGGUCUUCGGAUCGUAAAACUCUGUUAUUAGGGAAGAACAGAUGUGUAAGUAACUGUGCACAUCUUGACGGUACCUAAUCAGAAAGCCACGGCUAACUACGUG